AGAAUCUUCCGCAAUGGGGGGAACCCUGACGGAGCGAUGCCGCGUGAGGGACGGAGGCCUUCGGGUCGUAAACCUCUGUCACCCGGGACGAAGGAAUGACGGUACCGGGAGAGGAAGCCACGGCUAACUACGUGCCAGCAGCCGCGGUAACACGUAGGUGGCGAGCGUUAUUCGGAUUCACUGGGCGUAAAGGGUCCGCAGGGGGCCCUCCAAGCCCGCCGUGAAACCCCGGGGCCCAACCCCGGGCAUGCGGCGGGGACUGGCGGGCUGGGGUGCGCGAUGGGUGACUGGAACACCAGGUGUAGCGGUGGAAUGCGUGGAUAUCUGGUGGAACGCCGACGGCGAAGGCGAGUCACUGGCGCGCGACUGACCCUCAUGGACGAAAGCGUGGGUAGCGAACA
RNAcentral lists this ribosomal RNA (401 nucleotides) under uncultured bacterium. RNAcentral's name for it is "bacterial SSU rRNA". It matches the Rfam family "Bacterial small subunit ribosomal RNA", at positions 358 to 774 of the family's 1533-position model. The record is from RNAcentral.